Molecule: non-coding RNA, 3979 nt
Organism: Cricetulus griseus (Chinese hamster)
Lineage: Eukaryota; Metazoa; Chordata; Mammalia; Rodentia; Cricetidae
Source: RefSeq, a predicted model, not a curated record
UGUGUGUGUGUGUGGUCAGACGCUUGGGCCUGGUGAGCACUAGCUAAGAUCAUACCCCAGAAAAGGAGCUUCAAGAAUAGCCAUAUCAGCUCUGGGAAUCAAAUUAGAAAGGCUGGCUGCAGCGCCUCUGACUAAUGCAGACAAGACAGCUCCCCAAAAUAUGGGGACAAAGGAGGAUUGAUUCACCCUCCUGGAAUCAUGAAUGCCAGAUUUGAAUUUUAUCUGCUUUGCAGUAACAAAAAUAAGAACUUACUAAAUACUCUUUGUGUUUAACUAUUACUUGAAUUCAGAAAUAUGUAAGGACAAGUAAGAAUGCUUGGUGUUUGUCCUGGAAUAUUCCAAAAGGCCUUUCGGCUCAUUCCCUUGCCUCAAUGGUCCUAACAGGGGUGGCUUAGUGACAAAAAUUCCUCCUCCUGACUUUGGGAAGUGUCCACUGCUUACAGCCAACCUUAUGACUUCAGAGACACCCUCUCCAAAGUGACACCUCCCUUGUCCCCACCAGGACCUGACUGCUUUGAAUGUCCUCUACCUGGUGUUUAAUCUUACAGCAGUUAUUGCCACCUGGAAACACUAAAUGUAAAUGAUUCUAUUGUUCAGAAUUGUGUCACCUCCACCCAAAUAUAACACUAUAGUCCAUGUUGCAACUUCUGAGUUCCAGAGUCUAGAACAAGGACUGUCCUUGGUGCUCAGUUAGAGCUAGUGAACUAAUGGGACAAACAUAAUGCUUAUUCCAAAAUGCCUACAAAGGCCAGAUGUGAAGCCCUAGGCAACAUCUCAGAUGGAUGAGUAAGUGUCCCAUGCAUAGCAGGCAACACUCCUCAGCCAACAGGUGCCAAAGAUUAUCAUUUUCCCAUGGAAGCCAGAAACCUGGAUUUACACAUGAAAUUUCCUUUAAAACAAUUUUUUAAUAGAACACUGGGAGUGAAAACAGGGUUAUAGUCAGUACUUUUACAGCAAGCUAUCAGCUUGUGGCCUUUGGCCUCUCUUCCUGGAGUUAAGGCUAGGUGUGGUAAGGACGACCAGAGGAGGGGAGGAAGCUGCAAAGGAUAAGAGGAAACUGGGGGGCGGGGGGCUGCCCAACCCCAGCACUGGGAGGGGACUUCCAACAGGAACUCCAGGCUCAGGUGCUUCCCUCUGUGAAACCACCAGCCUGGUAGCUGCAUUGUCCCCAGCCAGCACAAGGGAACAGACCUGGGUUGCUUUGCUGUGUACCAGACUUCCCAAGCCUGACUUGGGGGUUAGGUGGGGACCUCAAACCAGGGGAACAAAUCAGGGACAAUUGUACUUAUGGGAAAAGCUAGGAUCAUUUCUACCCUGUCAAAGGCUGACUGUACCGCCCAGCUGUUCUAACUUCUCCGUCUCACUUGUGUAAACAAGGAUAGCUGAAACGGGAGAUGCUCAGUUUGAUUUGUACAACUGGUUCGUGAGUUCAAGGGUAGUGGGGCAGUUUAAGGACAUAGAAGUAAAUACCUAUUGCAAGGUAGACACAGGCCUCCUCUAUGCCAAGUUUUAAGUGUGCCCUCCAAAGUAUUUAUGUCUUGGAAACUCUAUCCCCAUUGUGAUAUUGGGAGACGGAGUCUAACAAGCAGCAAUUAGUGAAUCAAUGUCACCAUGGAGACGCUGAUGAGGCUGUCCCCUCUUUCCCUUCUCGUUCUUGCUCUCAUUCCAUCUGCCAAGGGGUGACACAGCAGCAAGCUGCUUCCAGAUGUCGGUGUCAUGCCCUCAGCCAGUCUCCUCUGCAGUAUGAGUCAAAAGUUGUUCAUGAUGAAAUAAGUGGUGACCCUGAAGUAUUACUGUAGUUGUAGGAAAUGGGAUAAGACAAGAGGUUCUGCACUUGGCUCAUACCAGUCUUCUCUAGUUUUCUUUCUUAGUCCAAGCUCUGGCCCCUUGACUCCAGGCGUGACACCUUGACUAUCAGGCCGCCAAGCUCGGGAGCACAGUGGGUUCCUCUGACCUCAGAGAGUGGUCCAGAUAAUAUGGGUCUUAGCAUAGGUUCUCCAGACAACAGAGGCUGAGGUAAAGGCCUGUGUUCAAGGACCUUAUUUAGGGGGUAUUUUCAUUAUUAUAAUUCAGGAAUCAGAGUGAGGAGCCAGGAAAUGAGGGGAAAUAGUUGGCGUGAGAUUGGUCCUCAAGGUGAUCACAACCCUUAUCUAAAAUGCUUGGGACCAGAAGUGUUUGGGGCUUCAGUUUCUAUUUUAGCUUAGAAUAUUUACAUAUUUUAGGAGAUGUCUUGGGUAAACAAGUCAUUUUUUAAAUAUGAAACUCAUGUUUUGUAAUACCUUACAUACACAGCCAGGAAUGGAACGGAAACCUCAAAGCCUGUCCCCAAUGACACAUCUCCAACAAGGUCAUACCUCAUAAUCCUUCCUAAGUAAUUCCACUGACUGUCCACCAAAUACUCAAAUAUAUGAUCCUAUGGGGCCAUUCCCAUUCAAACCGUCACCCUCUUCAAAGGCAUGACCCCAGGGACCCUCAUCCUCCAACUGGAUCCAUCUCCCCAUUCCUACCACUCUCAGUCUGCUCAGCUGGGGCUCCAUCUACGGAUUAAUUCCCUCCUUAUGUCAAAGCCCUCAUGCCCUGAUUGUCUCUGGAAUGCUGUCUCAGACACACACAAGGGUGUGCUUUAUUAAUUCUCUAUGACUCUCUCAAUCCAAUAAAACUGGCAAUUAAAAUUUUGUCACACUAUAUGAAUGGCUGCCAGAGGAAGCAGAGAGAGUUGGCCAUCUGGUCUUGCCGGUGAAAGCUCACGAGUAUUAAUUCUCUGUGUGACAGAGGUCCCAGGGCAGCUCAGCCCUCCACACCAGCAGGAAAACGCCAUGAAGCUGAAGGCCACGGGCACUGAGCCUUUGUUGGGAUAAUCUUUUUAUACACCGUGUGAAGAUGCAUCUCUGCCCUUCCUCACCUGCCCAAGGCACCUUCUGAUUGGUUUCAUAAAGAGCUGAAUGACCAAUAGCUAAGCAGGAGAACAUAGGUGGGACUUCCAGGCAGAGAUUCGAACUCUGGGAAGGAAUCUGAGGUGCAGGAGAUUUGCCAGCCAGACUCAAUGAAGUCAGACAUAUGAUACUGAGAAGAGCUGUUGUUACAGGAAUGCCAGCCAGAAGCCACGGAUCUAGAGACACAAAGACCACCAAACAUUUGUGCCUCCUGAGUAAAGGUAACCAGAAAAAUUCCAUACAGCCUAGAUACGAUCAAAACUACAAGCUCAAAGUUAUGGUGCUUUUUUUUAUUGUGACUCUGAUGUAAAUGUGCUGCCAAUGAGUCUAAUACUUACAUUUUCAACAACUAAAAGCAAGUUCCAGGGAGCAGAAUUGGACCCAUCCAAACAGAUCUACAGAGAUGCCAGAGUUCCAAAUAGCCAGGACUUCGAUGGAGCAGCCAGCUACCCCAGGACAUGGCAACACCCAGCUUUCUCAGGUCCCCCAAAGAUGGUCAACACCCGCUAGGUCAACAGGAAGCAGUCUUGAGAACUCAACACCCUUAUUGCCUAACUUGCCAUGCCCAACUCCCCACCAUUUUUAAUAAUAAGAGGUGAGAUUGUUGGAACUAAAACACCAGGCUGCCCCCAGCCCUCUGACAAUGGGUGGGGCAUGCACAGUGACGUAGCCAUGUCUUCUCCACGUCACUCGUUAGGCAGUACAGAGCUGUGUAAGAACUCUGCCCAUGCCGGAGGACUCAGGACUCGGUGGGCAUGUGUGGGCUUUCCCUUUUAAGCUCGCACCCUUCCCGCCCCACUCUCUCUCCCUGUCUCCGGUUGGCCUCCAUCUACCCACUCUUUCCCUUUCUACCAACAAAACCCCCAGUGGGUUUGUUGAUUCAAGGUUCUUGUUUCAUACCAUUCACUGCAGCAAAAUAACAAUACCUGGCUCUGCCUCCCAAGUGCUGGAGCUCUUAUUUUAAUCUGUUUCUCUUUGCCUACAUUUUGCUUUGGAACUUUUUAUCUUUCUUUCUGUAUGUCCUACUUCCCAGCUUCUCGUGUCUG